ACUCAAAGGAAUUGACGGGGGCCCGCACAAGCGGUGGAGCAUGUGGUUUAAUUCGAUGCAACGCGAAGAACCUUACCUACUCUUGACAUCCACAGAAUUUAGCAGAGAUGCUUUAGUGCCUUCGGGAACUGUGAGACAGGUGCUGCAUGGCUGUCGUCAGCUCGUGUUGUGAAAUGUUGGGUUAAGUCCCGCAACGAGCGCAACCCUUAUCCUUUGUUGCCAGCACGUAAUGGUGGGAACUCAAAGGAGACUGCCGGUGAUAAACCGGAGGAAGGUGGGGAUGACGUCAAGUCAUCAUGGCCCUUACGAGUAGGGCUACACACGUGCUACAAUGGCGCAUACAAAGUGAAGCGAGCUCGCGAGAGUAAGCGGACCACAUAAAGUGCGUCGUAGUCCGGAUCGGAGUCUGCAACUCGACUCCGUGAAGUCGGAAUCGCUAGUAAUCGUAGAUCAGAAUGCUACGGUGAAUACGUUCCCGGGCCUUGUACACACCGCCCGU
This 499-nucleotide ribosomal RNA is filed under the name uncultured bacterium. Its description in RNAcentral is "partial 16S ribosomal RNA". It matches the Rfam family "Bacterial small subunit ribosomal RNA", at positions 899 to 1397 of the family's 1533-position model. The record is from RNAcentral.